This 1401-nucleotide ribosomal RNA is filed under the name metagenome. Its description in RNAcentral is "bacterial LSU rRNA". It matches the Rfam family "Bacterial large subunit ribosomal RNA", at positions 1465 to 2925 of the family's 2925-position model. The record is from RNAcentral.
GAUGGGGACGCCGGAGUUAAUCGGGUCGGGGCGUUAGAUACCCCCGUGCCGCAAGGCCGACAGCUUGAUCUGGAAGCCCGAAGCAUUUCCGGCCACGAAAAGCCAUCGGAGGACGACAUGCGUGGCCCGUACCGCAAUCCGACACAGGUGUGCUAGGCGAGCAUCCGAAGGCGUUCGGGAGAACUCUCGUGAAGGAACUCGGCAAAAUGACCCCGUACCUUCGGUACAAGGGGUGCUCCCUCGCAAGGGGGAGCCGCAGAGAAUCGGCUCUAGCGACUGUUUACCAAAAACACAGGACUCUGCCAACUCGCAAGAGGACGUAUAGAGUCUGACGCCUGCUCGGUGUCGAUAGGUUAAGGAAGGCGAUGACCGCAAGGGAAGUUGCCGACCGAAGCCCCGAUAAACGGCGGCCGUUACUAUGACGGUCCUAAGGUAGCGAAGUUCCUUGUCGGGUAAGUUCCGACCUGCAUGAAUGGCGUAACGACUGGAGCACUGUCUCCACGAGAGACCCGGUGAAACUGUAGUCGUGGUGAAGAUGCCACGUACCCGCGGUCAGACGGAAAGACCCCGUGAACCUUUACUGCAGGUUGGCAUUGGCCCAAUGCUCGUUCUGUGUAGGAUAGGUGGGAGGCAGUGACCCGGCGGCGCCAGCCGUCGGCGAGCCAACGGAGAAAUACCACCCUGAAUGAUCGUUGGUCCUCACCGGUCCGUAGCCCGGAUCGGGACAGUGCUCAUCGGGCAGUUUGACUGGGGCGGUCUCCUCCCAAAGAGUAACGGAGGAGCGCCAUGGUACCCUCGGCCCGGUCGGCAAUCGGGCAACGCGAGCGCAAACGUAUAAGGGUGCCUGACUGCGAGACUGAUCAGUCGAGCAGGGACGAAAGUCGGCGUUAGUGAUCCGGCGGUGCUGGAUGGAAAGGCCGUCGCUCAACAGAUAAAAGGUACUCUGGGGAUAACAGGCUGAUCUCCCCCGAGCGUCCCUAGCGGCGGGGAGGUUUGGCACCUCGAUGUCGGCUCAUCGCAUCCUGGGGCUGGAGAAGGUCCCAAGGGUUUGGCUGUUCGCCAAUGAAAGCGGUACGCGAGCUGGGUUCAGACCGUCGUGAGACAGGUCGGUCCCUAUCUGCCGUGGGCGUAGGAAACUUGAGGAGAGUCUCCCCUAGUACGAGAGGAUUGGGGAGGACCGACCGCUGGUGUACCGGCUGUCCCGCUCGGGGCACCGCCGGGUAGCUAGGUCGGGACAGGAUAAGCGCUGAAGGCAUCUAAGCGCGAAGCCCCCUCCGAGACGAGGUUUCCAUUGGAUUUAUCCAUGAAGGCUCCUGGAAGACGACCAGGUAGAUAGGCCGGACGUGUAAGGCGAGUGAUCGCUUGAGCCGACCGGUCCUAACAGCCGAGCAGCUUGACCAC